AACGAACGCUGGCGGCAUGCCUAACACAUGCCAGUCGAACGAGACCUUCGGGUCUAGUGGCGCACGGGUGCGUAACGCGUGGGAACCUGCCCUUAGGUUCGGAAUAACUCCCCGAAAGGGGUGCUAAUACCGGAUAAUGUCUUCGGACCAAAGAUUUAUCGCCUUUGGAUGGGCCCGCGUUGGAUUAGCUAGUUGGUAGGGUAAAAGCCUACCAAGGCGACGAUCCAUAGCUGGUCUGAGAGGAUGAUCAGCCACACUGGGACUGGGACACGGCCCAGACUCCUACGGGAGGCAGCAGUGGGGAAUAUUGGACAAUGGGCGAAAGCCUGAUCCAGCAAUGCCGCGUGAGUGAUGAAGGCCUUAGGGUUGUAAAGCUCUUUUACCCGGGAUGAUAAUGACAGUACCGAGAGAAUAAGCUCCGGCUAACUCCGUG
Molecule: ribosomal RNA, 433 nt
Filed under: uncultured bacterium
Lineage: Bacteria
Description: partial 16S ribosomal RNA
Rfam family: Bacterial small subunit ribosomal RNA
Source: RNAcentral